UCCGCAGUAGCUCAAUUGGCAGAGCAUCCGGCUGUUAACCGGAGGGUUGUAGGUUCGAGUCCUACCUGCGGAGCCA
This 76-nucleotide transfer RNA is filed under the name Actinomycetes bacterium. RNAcentral describes it as "tRNA-Asn". It matches the Rfam family "tRNA". From Rfam's summary of the family: Transfer RNA (tRNA) molecules are approximately 80 nucleotides in length. Their secondary structure includes four short double-helical elements and three loops (D, anti-codon, and T loops). The record is from RNAcentral. Lineage: Bacteria; Bacillati; Actinomycetota; Actinomycetes.